RNAcentral lists this transfer RNA (74 nucleotides) under Lepilemur ruficaudatus (red-tailed sportive lemur). Its description in RNAcentral is "tRNA-Gln". The record is from RNAcentral. Lineage: Eukaryota; Metazoa; Chordata; Mammalia; Primates; Lepilemuridae.
UAGAAUAGGGUGUAUGUCGGUAGCACGAUGGAUUUUUGAAUCCUUAAGAGUAGGUUCAAGGCCUGCAAUUCUAG